Puntigrus tetrazona (Sumatra barb) is the source of this 3499-nucleotide RNA transcript. It is a transcript of the gene named vascular endothelial growth factor Aa, with no coding region annotated. The transcript has 7 exons. The record is from RefSeq and is a predicted model, not a curated record. Lineage: Eukaryota; Metazoa; Chordata; Actinopteri; Cypriniformes; Cyprinidae.
AGACUGCGGCCGACCAAUCAGCGCUCUCCCGCCUGUGCGCCGAUACGCUCAAGACCUGCUGAGAAGUGACAAGACCUCAUACUGCCAGAUAACAUCCACAACGUUAGGACACAACAGAAACCAAAGCAACAGCGGGAAAAAAGACGAGAAAAAGAAGGACAAAUCUGCCGCGGUUUAACCAGGGAUUGCCACAGGAUCACUUUACACGUAGCGCCUCGCUCUUGAUGAUAAGCGUACGCGCAGGAGCCGUUCUCUGGCCCCUAUAGAGGUUGCGCUUGGAAGUGUACGAAACUUUUUUUUUUUUUUUUUUUUUUGCUAUUUUUUGCCUGUGACCUUUUGGAAUCAGAUUUAUUAAACGCCGACCUCCCGUUAUACCGUGGAUCCUAAGGGCGAAAAAGGGAGGACCGGUGUAGUGUGGAAUUCCUCCGCUUUCUUUUCUCUGCCGUUCUUUUUUUUAUUUUGCUCUCGCUGCGUUAAACUCUGUUUUCCGGAGGAGCGCGUGCGUUCGAGAAGUUGAAUUCGACGCAGGUGCUUCGGUCCCGAAGGGCAUAAUGGGAUUGUUACUUUGACCCGCGAUAUCACGGUUCGUUCACAUCCAGCAGCUUCGCUUUUAAUUGUUUCGAGAGCCAAAGACUGUUCAGUAACACACCGCUGGAAUUACAACCAUGAACUUUGUUGUUUAUUCGAUACAGUUAUUUUUCGCGGCUCUCCUUCAUCUGUCUGCUGUAAAGGCUGCCUACAUACCCAAAGAAGGGAUGAAGAGCAAAAACGAGGUGAUUCCCUUCAUGGAUGUGUACAAAAAGAGUGCGUGUAAGACGCGAGAGAUGCUGGUAGACAUCAUUCAGGAGUAUCCCGACCAGAUCGAGCACACCUACAUCCCGUCCUGCGUGGUUCUCAUGCGCUGCGCAGGCUGCUGCAACGACGAGGCCCUCGAGUGUGUCCCUACAGAGACCCGCAACGUCACCAUGGAGGUACUGAGAGUCAAACAACGUGUAUCGCAGCAUAAUUUUCAACUGAGUUUCACAGAACACACCAAGUGUGAAUGCAGGCAAAAGGUAGAAGUCAAAUCAAAGAAAGAAAAAAAAGCCAGAGUGGGGAGGGUUAAAAGCCGAAAGAGAGCGAGAGAGGGAGAUUCGGGCGAUCUCAGCGCCUCGGCUCACCUGCGCUCAAGCAGUAUUUUGCUCUCAGUCGUUGGCUUUAUUUCAGGGCAGCUUGUUUGCUCUUUGUAAUCUCACUUGUCCCGUUGGCUUUAAGCCCCAGUCUGCAUUUAUUUGUACUCUAAUUCACACUGUUGGCCCACGGCCCGCAAAGAGGAAAGCAACCAAAGAUGUGAAAAGCCAAGAUGAUGAUCGGCGUGCUGGGCAGGACAAUGAAUGAAGGAACCUUUUUUUUUCUUUUCUUUUUUUAUUUUUUACGGCACAGCACUUUUUAAACCCGAGGAUGCAUUCCCUGGACGAACUGCAAACACGAACGAAAGGACUGAGAGAAUGAAACGAGGGCAGGAGAUACCAUCCCGAUGUAAAUUUUUAAGAUAUUAAUAUAUGAAUAUAUAGAAUAUAUAUUAUAUAUAUUAAAUGACAAAGACAAUGUGUGUCGCUGCUAUCACCUACAAGUAAACGAAGACGCUGCUUGGCGUGUGAAUGGGAUAUAUUUCGGUGUCACCGCACCUGGGCCUGCGAUUGGACGGCUUCACCGGAUCGGCCCGUUGUGGAUUAAUAUUUAAAGACUCGGAUCGAAUGUCCAAGACUUCACCGAAAGGUGCAGCUUCCACGACGGCUUCCAAUCUUUUACACGAUCAGUUACAGACUGUCGAACAAAGAAGAGGAAGUGACAUCGUAACGAUUCUUUCCGGAACGUUGGGAACAGUGGGUCCAGGCACGGGAUACGAAUGCGGAACUAUCUCUUUCUGUGAUGUCACUCUCACUGGGGUGAAGUCUUAGUCGCCCUGUACUGACUAACAACCAAUAGGACUUGGUGUGAUAAUACUAAAGGGAUAUUACAUACUGUAUAUGUACAUACGGAGCAACAGCGACGCGUAAAUGUGACAAAAUGCAAAUCAAUUCUGACAUUCGCUAAGGAAAAGACUCGUUCCAUUCACUGCAUUAGAAAAAGAUAACUCAGAUAAUCAGGUUGGUAACGUUUUCCAAAGAGAAUAUUGCACACGACUUUAGGAACUGUUUAUUACCACACGAUAUAUGUGUAUACGUAUCUAAUAUCCCUUUGCGUAGUUCACUACAUCUAAUUUAUAAUGUUAGAAUAUUGUUCAGUAUUCUCUGUAUUUAAUUUGAUCUAUUUAUAUGCAGUGUUAUUGUUGAUAUUGUUUUGAUUGGUUUCCUGUCGACAUUGUCACCAAUCUGAAAAACUGUGGACGGCUUUGUAGAACGAAAGACAAAAGAGAAACAGACACUUCGACAUUCCUGAAAGCGCCUUUUUUAGUUUAUCGUAACGUUUUUUUUUUUCAGUUUGGUGGAGAUACGAGGCCCGCGGACGAGGUUUUACGAUCUAAAAACAAACAUUCUCUUUGCGUGAAAGUGCCAGAAAUGAGUUUUUCUUUGUUCGUUUGUUUGUUUGCCAUGUACAGCCACAUUUUCAGUAUAUUUUCACAGUAAUAUAUUUAUUGGUGCUGUUAAAUAUUAACAUCCUUUUGUGUUUUUAGUAUAACUAUUAAACAUAUUUAUUUUCAAAUGAUAUUGUUUUUUAUUAAAGCAAAAAUGGAUUUCUGUUUGGCGAGUGUGCUGUUUUUGCAUUUCGCAUUUCCAAAAUGUUGGUAUAAGAGAAAUAAAUUAUACACGUGCGCUCACUCUAUAGGACAAAGCAAGUGCAAAUGACACCUUAAGUCAAGAUAUAUAGCUAUAAAGCAACAGCAGACGAUGCUUGCUGUCACAUAUUCCAUUAAAUUAAGAAAAAGAAACGCUAGGGUAACAUUUCACUUUCAUUUCAGACAUCGCAGAUGAAAAUACAUGGAAAAUCAUCACAGUGUGUGCUCGCAUCUUUUUGUUGUUGUUGUGAAGAACACACUCUCAUGUCGUCCUGACCUUGUGCUGAAAGCUAGCGCUCUUUCCCAUUUGAAAGUGGAUGGUUAUUUAUGCCUCCAAGCUCCAAAAAGGACAAAAAUGUCACACUGACUUCCAAAGCCGGGAGAAAAUUAAUAGAAACAAGAACAUGAUUUGAACAUGAUUUCCUGCGUUGAAUACCAAACUACUGAAUCAGACGUUGUUUUACAACAGCGCAAAAAUGAAACUGAGAGUAAACUGAAUCCAAAGGUUAAUUAUCCUUGUUAGAUAAGAUUUUAAGGAACAAUUUACUUAUGAAACAUCCUCAUUAAGGUAAUAAUAUGAUUACAGCAUUUUAUACACUCGCCGUGUGAUCCUGAUCAGGAUUCAAAGCACUGCUUUAUUUCCUUGACCUUUGGUUGUGUCUGAUGAAUGUGGGAUUUUGACAGAGCUUUCUGCUUUUUGUAUGAAUUUUCCCAACCCUAAAAAUAAAACGUUUUCCAGAA